GUAAAGAUAGACUAAUUAAAGUCUUUAGACUCAUAAUCUAAAAAUACAAUAUUUUGUUUUUUAUA
RNAcentral lists this transfer RNA (65 nucleotides) under Muscidifurax sinesensilla. Its description in RNAcentral is "tRNA-Met". Lineage: Eukaryota; Metazoa; Arthropoda; Insecta; Hymenoptera; Pteromalidae. The record is from RNAcentral.